GGGCACGACAUCUCAUCCGCGGUGAACCAACACACGUACACUCACACACUCAUACUCACGUCGGCCCGCGAGUUGCGUUUUGCAAGCGCUUUCAGUGCGAUUCGAACGACGGCCGCGGAUGCAGGGACGGCGGCGGACUGUUGGAGUCGUGUCGCAAGUCAGGCACGACGACCGAAACGACAUCACAUAAUCGUCGAUUCAUGCACGCCAGAUCACAAACUUGACACGUAUCGGACGCACUGCCGUUUCACGAUCCUGAAAAUACAUCACGAACCGGCACAGAGACUUAACACGAAGUGCAAUAGCACAGUUCAACGGCAGAGCACGCGAUAUAUAGGUAUCUCUACCUACUCGUCCGCGCGUUCCAUCGUCGAAGCCGAGUACACACACACUGUGUUCGCUGGAAAACCCGAGGCGGAAGGUGAAACGGCGGCCGCCGAUGUAUCUCCGGAGAGCCGUUCGGACACCGCCGGUCGUGUGUUCCACGCGGAAAUCAUAAGCAAUAAUAAUACGAUAUAGUAAUGAUAAAAUAUUACGAACCGGUAUUAUUAUAUUGUUAUUACUUGUAGUCAAGCGGGCCGUUUAAAAUUUAAGGCGACGACACAACAGUGUAUUUAUUAAUUUCUACGCCACACACCAGAACCCGUUACCGCAAACGCAACAGUUAUAUAUAGUGAGUAAAAACAAAUUUAAAAAAAAAUUCUAGUAACGUACCAGCCGAAAAAGUACUUAAUAAUAUAAUCAUUAAUUUUGUAUUAUAUUAUAUUAUUAAACGUGUGUGUAUACUUAUAUAAUAUAUAUUUAAUUUUUUUUGGUCGUUCUCACACUGUCGAAAAUAGGUGAAGGUAUACAAAUGUGUAUAAAUUAUUGAAUAAUUAUUAUUAUUACAUGAUGAUAAUAUUGUUGUAUAUACGUGAAAAAAAUUAAACUAUUUCGUUAAACACGUUCUGUCAAA
This is a long non-coding RNA of Rhopalosiphum maidis (corn leaf aphid), 955 nucleotides long. RefSeq lists it as uncharacterized. The record is from RefSeq and is a predicted model, not a curated record. The transcript is spliced from 3 exons. NCBI's taxonomy places the organism in Eukaryota, Metazoa, Arthropoda, Insecta, Hemiptera, Aphididae.